AUUUAUAUAGUUUAUUAAAACGUUUCAUUUUCAAUGAAAAAAUAAAUUUUUAUUUUAUAAAUG
This 63-nucleotide transfer RNA is filed under the name Tenebrionoidea sp. 20 KM-2017. RNAcentral describes it as "tRNA-Glu". The record is from RNAcentral. Lineage: Eukaryota; Metazoa; Arthropoda; Insecta; Coleoptera.